GAUGAACGCUGGCGGCGUGCUUAACACAUGCAAGUCGAACGGGAAAUAUUUCAUUGAGACUUUGGUGGAUUUGAUCUAUUUCUAGUGGCGGACGGGUGAGUAACGCGUGGGUAACCUACCUUAUACAGGGGGAUAACAGUCAGAAAUGGCUGCUAAUACCGCAUAAGCGCACAGAGCUGCAUGGCUCAGUGUGAAAAACUCCGGUGGUAUAAGGUGGACCCGCGUUGGAUUAGCUUGUUGGUGGGGUAACGGCCCACCAAGGCGACGAUCCAUAGCCGGCCUGAGAGGGUGAACGGCCACAUUGGGACUGAGACACGGCCCAGACUCCUACGGGAGGCAGCAGUGGGGAAUAUUGCACAAUGGGGGAAACCCUGAUGCAGCGACGCCGCGUGAAGGAAGAAGUAUCUCGGUAUGUAAACUUCUAUCAGCAGGGAAGAUAGUGACGGUACCUGACUAAGAAGCCCCGGCUAACUACGUGCCAGCCGCCGCGGUAA
RNAcentral lists this ribosomal RNA (494 nucleotides) under uncultured bacterium. Its description in RNAcentral is "partial 16S ribosomal RNA". It matches the Rfam family "Bacterial small subunit ribosomal RNA", at positions 28 to 523 of the family's 1533-position model. The record is from RNAcentral.